AAAACAACAAACUUAAAGGAAUUGACGGGGACCCGCACAAGCGGUGGAUGAUGUGGAUUAAUUCGAUGCAACGCGAAAAACCUUACCUACCCUUGACAUGGCAGGAAUCCCGAAGAGAUUUGGGAGUGCUCGAAAGAGAACCUGCACACAGGUGCUGCAUGGCUGUCGUCAGCUCGUGUCGUGAGAUGUUGGGUUAAGUCCCGCAACGAGCGCAACCCUUGUCAUUAGUUGCUACGCAAGAGCACUCUAAUGAGACUGCCGGUGACAAACCGGAGGAAGGUGGGGAUGACGUCAAGUCCUCAUGGCCCUUAUGGGUAGGGCUUCACACGUCAUACAAUGG
This 340-nucleotide ribosomal RNA is filed under the name uncultured bacterium. RNAcentral's name for it is "bacterial SSU rRNA". It matches the Rfam family "Bacterial small subunit ribosomal RNA", at positions 889 to 1233 of the family's 1533-position model. The record is from RNAcentral.